AUACAUAAAUUUUGGUGUGGCAGUAAGGAGGGCCAGAGGAAGCCCAGUCGGGUUUCAUGGAGUAUGAUGACGAGACCAAAACAGUCUCGGGGCCUAGGUUUUCGGAAGAUAGAGCCUUUCAACCUCGCUCUUCUAGCCAGGCAAGCUUGGUAAAUCCUAAUGGAGCCAAAUUCGCUAAGUGCAUGGAUCCUUAAAUCAAAGUACUUUCAUUACUAAUUUUCUAUAGGCCGAGNNNNNGGGGGGGGUCCUUCACAAGUGUGACGGUGGAUUCUGGAAGGGCGUGACACUUCAACUAAAGGAAUUGUACGACGGAUAGGUGAUGGAGAAAUGAAAAAAAAUUAGCAGCAUAAUUGGCUACCUCAUCCCCAUAACAUGAGGACGAUCAUGAAUAGAGUACAGAACCCUCCACAGCUUAUAUGGGAAUUGAUUCUGCCUAAUGCAAUUUUGAACCGAGAGGCGGUUGCGGAAAAAUUCUUACCUACGGAUGCCAAAGCUAUUCUAUCCAUACCGAUGUGCACAAAACAUGUUGAUGAUUUCUGGUCAUGGGAACACAAGAAGAAUUGGCUACCUCGUCCCCAUAUGCUUGCUUCUACAAAACUGAGAUGCGCAACCUGGCUAGAUGGUGGAUUGGGUUCUUCAAACAGUGAAAGCGAGCAGAAAUCAUGGUCUAAGCUAUGGGAAAUAGAUGUACCCUCCAAGAUUAAAAAUUUCUUAUGGAGGUUAGCGCAGCAAUCUAUCCCAACAACUGAUCUUCUCAAUCAUCAGAAUAUUUCUUCUGUGACAUCGUGUGGACUAUGUGGCAAUGAGGAUUCUUGGCAGCAUCCUCUUGGAUUGUAA
RNAcentral lists this ribosomal RNA (837 nucleotides) under Triticum aestivum (bread wheat). Its description in RNAcentral is "partial small subunit ribosomal RNA". The record is from RNAcentral. Lineage: Eukaryota; Viridiplantae; Streptophyta; Magnoliopsida; Poales; Poaceae.